AGAGUUUGAUCCUGGCUCAGAGCGAACGCUGGCGGCGUGCUUAACACAUGCAAGUCGAACGCGCAGCAUUCUGUAGCAAUACAGGGUGUGGGCGCGUGGCGAACGGGUGCGUAACACGUGGAUAACCUUCCUUCAGGUGGGGAAUAACCCAGUGAAAACUGGGCUAAUGCCGCAUAACAUGACGAUGGCACAUGCUGUUGUCUUCAAAGGCGCAAGUCGCCAGAAGAGGGAUCCGCGGCCGAUUAGCUUGUUGGCGAGGUAAUGGCUCACCAGGGCAUUGAUCGGUAGCCGGACUGAGAGGUUGGCCGGCCACACUGGAACUGAGACACGGUCCAGACUCCUACGGGAGGCAGCAGUGGGGAAUCUUGCACAAUGGACGAAAGUCUGAUGCAGCAACGCCGCGUGGGGGAUGAAGCUUCUCGGAGUGUAAACCCCUUUCGACCCGGAAGAAUGCCCGCAAGGGUUUGACGGUACGGGUAUAAGAAGCCCCGGCUAACUACGUGCCAGCAGCCGCGGUAAUACGUAGGGGGCCAGCGUUGCUCGGAAUUACUGGGCGUAAAGGGUCUGUAGGCGGUGCGGCAAGUCGAUAGUGAAAUCCCUAGGCUUAACCUAGGGGCUGCUAGCGAAAUUGCCGUGCUAGAGUGUGAGAGAGGCGAGUGGAAUUACGGGUGUAGCGGUGAAAUGCGUAGAUAUCCGUAGGAACAUCCGAGGCGAAAGCGGCUCGCUGGAUCACAACUGACGCUGAGAGACGAAAGCUAGGGGAGCAAACAGGAUUAGAUACCCUGGUAGUCCUAGCCCUAAACCAUCAGGACUUGGGGUUUGCCC
This 825-nucleotide ribosomal RNA is filed under the name uncultured soil bacterium. RNAcentral describes it as "bacterial SSU rRNA". It matches the Rfam family "Bacterial small subunit ribosomal RNA", at positions 8 to 829 of the family's 1533-position model. The record is from RNAcentral.